This 492-nucleotide ribosomal RNA is filed under the name uncultured bacterium. RNAcentral describes it as "partial 16S ribosomal RNA". It matches the Rfam family "Bacterial small subunit ribosomal RNA", at positions 29 to 507 of the family's 1533-position model. The record is from RNAcentral.
AGUGAACGCUGGCGGUAGGCCUAACACAUGCAAGUCGAACGGCAGCACAGUAAGAGCUUGCUCUUACGGGUGGCGAGUGGCGGACGGGUGAGGAAUACAUCGGAAUCUACUUUUUCGUGGGGGAUAACGUAGGGAAACUUACGCUAAUACCGCAUACGACCUACGGGUGAAAGCAGGGGAUCUUAGGACCUUGCGCGAUUGAAUGAGCCGAUGUCGGAUUAGCUAGUUGGCGGGGUAAGGGCCCACCAAGGCGACGAUCCGUAGCUGGUCUGAGAGGAUGAUCAGCCACACUGGAACUGAGACACGGUCCAGACUCCUACGGGAGGCAGCAGUGGGGAAUAUUGGACAAUGGGCGCAAGCCUGAUCCAGCCAUACCGCGUGGGUGAAGAAGGCCUUCGGGUUGUAAAGCCCUUUUGUUGGGAAAGAAAAGCAGCAGGUUAAUACCCCGCUGUUCUGACGGUACCCAAAGAAUAAGCACCGGCUAACUUCGUG